CCUUACGGUAAUGAAAAAUAGCCCCAUGUACGGACACCUGGGGGCCACAGUGUGAACAGCACCUCCCUCGUGGUCCUCAAGGGGGCGACAACGAGCCGGACCCGAACAUAUUUAAGCUGGCAGCGGAUCGCCUCGCUCUCUUUCCCCGCCGUUGCUGCGCAGAGGAGAAGUCACGAGGGAGGCCCGAGAUGUUCCUCAUGAUGAAAAGUAACCCAACGUUGCAUCGCUUGAUCGUCAUCACGGGCUGCUCGUAUCAAAUGCUGUUUGGACACCUGUCGGAGCCGGAUGGAGGCUGAGGGCUCUGCCGGUCAUUACGCUGCUGUUGUGACACCACAAUCUGCCAUGGCAGUAUGAUAACUAAAGGAAAUAAGUCCCAGAGAGGAGCCCGGACAAGAGGACGGCUGCCAUCUGCUUGUGCGAGAAGUAUGUUACCCGUUUCUCUCUGCAGCGACUCGUGCUGGGGUUAAACCGUGUCGCUCGCUGACAAAGCUGCAUCUUUGACAGCCUGGGCUCUCUGAUGUGAGAGACCCCGGGUUUUAUUAAUUCAGAUGCAAUAUUAAAUGUCCCUGCGCUUUCUGCUCGCCUCUUUUCCAUGGCGUCUCGGAUUGAAUGUGGGAGGAUAAACUAAAUAUUACACGUUUGUAAAAUACUGUGAGUGAGCUGGAUGUAAUGGUGUUUUCCCUCUGACUUCUUCAAGGCUUCCAGAGGCUUAAAGAGUCGACCCAUCAGAAGAGAUUUUCUUCUCAGCUGAUACUUUGCAGGUGAGCCAUUGUUCGGUUGGGAGACUUAGCCCGCCGCGGGUGCAUCAGCAAAGGCAAACGGAAGUCUUUACUUAGUCAAUAGCUGGAGGCACAGCAAAUUUUAACUUUCAGUGAUGCAUCUUAUAAUUUUCUAAUUUGUCUUGCAGGUCAAAGCGGCAAACGCCUGGAUGAAAGCAGACCGGUGGAACUGCUGGCUUCAUUUUUCUGAAAUGUGCCAUUGGCAUAAUGAUUCCACACCGUAUGAGUCGCUGCAAUGUGAAAAUUGAACUACAUUUUGUCUGUUUAUAAAAACAAGAUUAAAGACUUAAGCAGUCUGUGCUGAUAUCAUUACUAAACCUGUGUUUGAACAUUUUGAUAUAAUUGAUUCUUGAGCCUCAGCUGGAAGAGA
Gasterosteus aculeatus aculeatus (three-spined stickleback) is the source of this 1149-nucleotide long non-coding RNA. Lineage: Eukaryota; Metazoa; Chordata; Actinopteri; Perciformes; Gasterosteidae. The record is from Ensembl.